CAGCUCAGGGUCCUCGGCAUCUGUUGUAGAAGUUGGAAGCACAGCAGGCAGAAGAUACUGCUUUGUUCAGGCCUGGUUCAUACCUACCCUGGCAGCCCAGCACUGAUGCCUGCCCUGGUGCCACAACCAGCACCUUAGUGCAGCACCGUGUUUACCUCGCAAAAGCAGACGGGAGAUAAGAGCCGAUAUCACGAAACCUACCUUCUUCAGUGAAGGUGGGGGAAACUCGGCUUAGUUCUCCCCGGUGAGUUGGCAAAGGUCUCCGCUCUUCCCGGCGUCAUUCUGCAUCGUGAAAAUCUCGCAGCAGCAGGCGAACAAGGGCGAGGCAAACCUUCCAGGGGACUAUGAGGAAGGCGACGCAGCCGUUCAGCCCAAAUCCACGGCUUCGGACUAGAGCUGAGCUUUAUUCCAAAGGACUUCGGCUCCCGCGGAGGGCGGCACCGGCUGGGCAAGUAGACAAACAGGAACCGAGGGCGCUGCUCAAAGGCGAAAAGCCGAGAGAUGACACUUUCUUAAUCACCGACUUGUGCCAGGACGAUUGAAAGGUGUCAGAGAGUACUAAGGGAGCCAAGCCUACAGGGUGGACUCAAUCACGCUCGUGGGAUCUCCUUUGGUUUUUUUCUUUCUUUCUAGAAGCCCCGAGAUCUACCAAGGGGUGCCUGGUGCAAAAAUACACUUUACUAACACACGGUAUGUUAAAAGUACAUCCACCCCCAUCCCGAAUCCUGGGGUGCUGGACUCCGACCUGGGAGACCAGGGUUCGACUCCCCACACAGCCAUGAAGCUCGCUGGGUGACCUUGGGCCAGUCACUGCCUCUCAGCCUCAGAGGAAGGCAAUGGGAAACCCCCUCUGAAUACUGCUUACUAUUCACAGGGUCGCCCAUAAAUCGGAAUCAACUUGAAGGCAGUCCAUUUUAUUUUCAAGGGUGGAAAUUAUAGCUCUGGGAGAAGUAAACUACAGCUCCCAGGAUUCUUUGGGAAGGGGUGGGGAAAUGUGCUUUAAAUGGGGACGGUGUACAAGCCGGAACGGAACGGAACAGGCCAGAACGGGCCCUUUAUAAAAGAAAUUGAUGCCAAAAACACUGGGAUGUGUUAGAGACACUGGAGAACAACAUUUAGGAACUAAAACCAUUCCGAUAGCAUUUUUUAUCAACCCCUUAACAACCAAAAUGCCCUCCGGAAUGGAAUGAAACAUCCCGGAACAUCCCAGUGUUUUUGGCAUCAAUUUCUUUUAUAAAGGGCCCGUUCCGGCCUGUUCCGUUCCGUUCUGGCUUUUACACCAUCCCCUUUAAAUGUACGGUGUAUGUAGACUCAGCAAAGUCUGGGCCCUGCAUUGAUGGCUUUCUUCGAAGUGUUUAUGCCAUGCCUACCAACCAAAAUUCUCUAGAGGGGGCUUACAAAUGCAUUUAAAACGCAAUAAAAUAGACAGCGCUAAUAUAAUAGUUACUAGAGAAAGUGCCAAAGUGUAUAUAAAUUGCCCCCUCUCUCGUUCUGCGACAGGGGUAGCCCACGUGGUGCUCUUCAGGUGAUGUUUUGGAUUCAAAGUCUGUAAGAACAUUAGAACAGCUUGCUGGAUCGGGCUGGUGGCCCAUGUAAUCCAGCAUCCUGUUCUCACAGUGGCCAACCAGAUGCCCUUUAUGGGAAGCCCCCAAGCAGGACCCGUUCCCUGUACUGGCAGGGUAACACCCAAAACAUGCCAGACAGUGUUUUCUCUUUAAUGGGUUUUGGGUGCUUUUUGUUUUGUCCUGAAAAUGAAGAGGAUUUGAAACAGAAAUAAAAAAAAUGAAGAGGAAGGUCAUUCGGUGAUCUCUGUCUACACAUUUAGAAAAGUGUCUCUGAAGCAGCUCAUCUCUCAAAAGGAUGGCUCACCCAGGCCAUGAGUGGGCUUUAGCAUAAAGGGGAGAAUUUCACCACACCAUAAAAUUCUCUAGAACAAGGAACCUGUGACCCUCCAAAUGUUGUUAGUCAAGGAUGGUGGGAUUUGUAGUCCAGGAUUUGUAGUCCAGCAAUAUCUGGAAGACCACAGGAUCCCCAACCUCUUCUCUGGCGCAUUGUGCCAUCUAUCCAGAGCUCUUGGGCUUAUUCAUCCAAGUACUUUUAAGGGUAAGGGCAGGUAACCCUCGUAAUCCUUUUAGACUCAUAACCAGGGCAAGAGCCAUAGCUCAGUGGUGGAGCACGCAUGCUUUGCUUGCAAAAGAUCCCAGGUUCUCAUAUGCUGCUAUGUUCCACCUUAUGAGUGAGGCCACACCCAUUCCCAUUUCAUAGAUGGCAAACUGAGACUGAGAGCCCACAAGUAGGACCUGAGUGGGUACAACAGCACUCUCCCUUCCUGCAGCUACUGGCAACUGGUUUUCAGAAGCCAUGCUACCCCUAUGGUGGCAGAGCACAGCCAUCCUGGCCAGUAGCCAUUGAUAACCAUAUCCUCCAUUUCCCCUCACCCUUGUAUGUCAGCUGAGACCGAUAGGGUCCAACAUCUGGAGGUCGCCACGUUGGCUACCCCGAUCCCCAAAUGUUCCAUGUUCCCAUGUCCCUAUGCUGCUCUCACCCCUCAUUUAGGUGCAUGGGAUGCAUGCGUGUGGACAUACGUUCUUACAGUUAUGGAAAGUGAUUCUUAAUAAUAAGUCUCCAGACACAAAGUUACAUAGGUAUUUAUUAGUUGUUUAGUAGAAAAUUCAGAAGUGCAGAGUCCCUUCAUGAUAGUUGCAGCCACAUACACCCUUUUUUACUCCUGGAUUAAGAAUGAGAUCUUUGUUAAUGCAUUCUCUCACAACAACAAACAUCUGUAGGAGCCAAUCAGCAUGUAAGUGGAGAGCGUUAGCAACUGAGAAGAGUCUUCUCAGUGGCUGACUCACCUCCUUUCACUCUGAUUGGCUCCAAUCAGCAGGAAAGGCAAGGAAGACUAACACACUUCCUUUUCAUGCUGACUGUAGGAUGCUUGGAGACAUAGGGACCCUGCUCCCAAAAAAGCAGAGGGACUAAGAUCCCCUGGGUGACUACCCUCCUGGUGCUUAUGGACAUGACCAUAAUAUAUUUUGUGACGUGCAAGUUCGAUAUUAUUGUAUACCCUGUAUUAAUCUGUUAUUUUCAGCAAGCAAAUAAAGGCCUAUAGCAAGAUAUUGUAGCCUUAUGUUAAGCAUAAUAUGUAUUUGCUAGUGAACCUGAAGGCUUGUAUUCCCCUUUCAGGCCCCUGCAUUCCAUAAUCAUCUGAAAACCUAAGCUAGGAAACGGCAUGAUGACCUGCCCAGUAUAAUGAUGGGAAUGUACCUUGUUAGUUAGAGAGGCAUCAAAGGAGCCCAAUUAGGCAUAUAUUCAAGAAUAUGUUAUCAGCAAGGUGUUUUAUAGAUGAUUUAAGCCUAGGUUAUAUUCCAAAGGGUAGGUUAAUGAGCAGUUGCUCAUUAAGGCAGCCAGGUGGACGAGUCAAAGGACGGUCAAUGAUGAGAGUUGCUUGUUAGCAGAGAUAGAGAUGAAGAUAUGGCCAACAUAUAGGUUGCCAAAGGAGUGCCAGGGUGUUUCCAUAUAGUUUUCUAGUAAUUAGUUGGCUUUUGAAGAUGUCUUGUGAGAAGGUCAAAUAACCAAUCAUCGGUGUUAUGCUGUAAUGUUCAAUGCAUGAAAAAUAUCAUUUGUGUAUGUAACCUUGCCAACAUUGUAUGUAAUCAUGCCAAUGCCACAUGCUAGCUUCAAUACUAUAAAAAUGUUUCUUGUGCCCAGUAUGGGUGUUCAGUCUGACCCAGCUACUGCAGAGCUGUGGACUGUUCCACUUUUAUUGGGCUACUUGGCUGUAUGCUUGUAAGU
Molecule: long non-coding RNA, 3792 nt
Organism: Rhineura floridana
Lineage: Eukaryota; Metazoa; Chordata; Lepidosauria; Squamata; Rhineuridae
Exons: 4
Source: RefSeq, a predicted model, not a curated record